Molecule: ribosomal RNA, 253 nt
Filed under: uncultured bacterium
Lineage: Bacteria
Description: partial 16S ribosomal RNA
Rfam family: Bacterial small subunit ribosomal RNA
Source: RNAcentral
UACGUAGGGCGCAAGCGUUGUCCGGAAUUAUUGGGCGUAAAGAGCUCGUAGGUGGCGUGUCGCGUCUGCCGUGAAAGCCCAUGGCUUAACUGUGGGUCUGCGGUGGAUACGGGCAGGCUGGAGGCUGGUAGGGGCAAGCGGAAUUCCUGGUGUAGCGGUGAAAUGCGCAGAUAUCAGGAGGAACACCUGCGGCGAAGGCGGGUUGCUGGGCUGACACUGACGCUGAGGAGCGAAAGCGUGGGGAGCGAACAGG